Molecule: ribosomal RNA, 560 nt
Filed under: uncultured Bacillota bacterium
Lineage: Bacteria; Bacillati; Bacillota
Description: bacterial SSU rRNA
Rfam family: Bacterial small subunit ribosomal RNA
Source: RNAcentral
CUACGGGAGGCAGCAGUGGGGAAUAUUGCACAAUGGGGGAAACCCUGAUGCAGCGACGCCGCGUGGAGGAAGAAGGUCUUCGGAUUGUAAACUCCUGUUGUUGAGGAAGAUAAUGACGGUACUCAACAAGGAAGUGACGGCUAACUACGUGCCAGCAGCCGCGGUAAAACGUAGGUCACAAGCGUUGUCCGGAAUUACUGGGUGUAAAGGGAGCGCAGGCGGGAGAACAAGUUGGAAGUGAAAUCCAUGGGCUCAACCCAUGAACUGCUUUCAAAACUGUUUUUCUUGAGUAGUGCAGAGGUAGGCGGAAUUCCCGGUGUAGCGGUGGAAUGCGUAGAUAUCGGGAGGAACACCAGUGGCGAAGGCGGCCUACUGGGCACCAACUGACGCUGAGGCUCGAAAGUGUGGGUAGCAAACAGGAUUAGAUACCCUGGUAGUCCACACCGUAAACGAUGAUUACUAGGUGUUGGAGGAUUGACCCCUUCAGUGCCGCAGUUAACACAAUAAGUAAUCCACCUGGGGAGUACGACCGCAAGGUUGCAACUCAAAGGAAUUGACGG